This 230-nucleotide ribosomal RNA is filed under the name uncultured bacterium. RNAcentral's name for it is "partial 16S ribosomal RNA". It matches the Rfam family "Bacterial small subunit ribosomal RNA", at positions 563 to 791 of the family's 1533-position model. The record is from RNAcentral.
AAGCGUGCGCAGGCGGUUUUGUAAGACUGUCGUGAAAUCCCCGGGCUCAACCUGGGAAUGGCGAUGGUGACUGCAAGGCUAGAGUUUGGCAGAGGGGGGUAGAAUUCCACGUGUAGCAGUGAAAUGCGUAGAUAUGUGGAGGAACACCGAUGGCGAAGGCACGCCCCCUGGGUCAAAACUGACGCUCAUGCACGAAAGCGUGGGGAGCAAACAGGAUUAGAUACCCGAGU